This is a long non-coding RNA of Paramisgurnus dabryanus, 1354 nucleotides long. RefSeq lists it as uncharacterized. The record is from RefSeq and is a predicted model, not a curated record. NCBI's taxonomy places the organism in Eukaryota, Metazoa, Chordata, Actinopteri, Cypriniformes, Cobitidae.
UUAAUCCACUAAACCCAGAGAUAAUUCCUGAGGCAUGUUUAAAGAGUUUUGUAUUUCAUCAAGAAGGUGCUGAUUCACAAAGAUUUUAAAUUUAAGAAAAUCUGAGCAUCAUUCCAAAUAACUGUUAACAUGUUUGUCAACUAAACAUGUUUUGUAAACGUAAUAAACUUUAUAAAAAUAUUUUUUAUUUUGUAUUAAUAAUCAAGUAUAAAGAACAAUGCAUAGUGUGAAAAUGCGGAUUAUAAAAAAGUAUAUUAAAGAAAAGGACUACAUUUCCCAGAAUGCACCUGCACCCACUCAUCUGACUGCCCCCACCCUUCAGGUGCGACUGCUCAACCUAUGGGCUUGACGGAAAAUUCAAAUCGCGAACCGUUACUGCCUGGACUACUCCGUCUCUUGUUUGUUUGUUUGCUCAUUAACAGUAAGAGGUCAUGUACACUGUGGUCAACUUUGUGGACGAUGAAGAGGUUUCUGGGUAAAGAUGAUAGAAAUAUAAUGAAGUAACAGUGAAAGCUAAAACAUCAGACUGAUCCAGACACUGAAGAAAUUGAUGUCACUGCAAUCUGGCCAAAAUGAUACAACUAUAUUGAAGUAACCUACUGUAAUGAAGCUGCAGAACAACACAGAGACUCUGAGGACAUCAACACAGAAAAUGAAGGCUCCAAAGAGAUGUCUGUCCAGAUGAGGGUGCAUCAAUGUUACGUUUGCUGACAAGUAUAUGCUUUACAAUGUAAAACCUAACAGUUAACUUAACUCAAACCAUUUAAGGAAAUCGGUUGCCUUAACCCAUUAAGUUUUAAAAAACAUACAUUUGAGUACUGUGAACUUAAGUCUUGUGCAAUUAUGCACUUAUAUUUAGUUAGUGUGAACUUAAAUAUAAGUGCAUAACUGCAUGUGACUCAAUUUGUUUAAGUUCACAGUACUCAAAUCCAUGUGUUUUAAAACUUAAAUGGUUUAAUGCAACCGGUUUUCUUAAAUGGUUUGAGUUUAGUUAACUUUUAGGUUUUACAGUGAGAAAUUCUUGAAUAAUUCCAAGACAGAGCUCUGCAAUUGAAUCAACAUUGCAAAAAAUCAGUUUCUAACUUAGGAUUUUUAUCUUGUUUUUAGUAGAAAAACUAAAAAUUCUUAAAUCAAGAUGUAUUUUCUUGAUGAGCAAAAUUACCUAAGAAAAUGUCUAGUUUUUAGACAAAAAUAUACAAUUUAAGUAAAUUUGUGCCUGAACAAGCAAAAAUAUAUAACAAUGGGGUGAGAAAAUUGUGCUUGAAUUAAGUUUUUAAGAAAAAAGAAAACUUAAGAUUUUUUCUCACACCAUUGGCAGAUAUUUUUGCUUGUUUUAAGCACAAAUUCACUUAAA